UUGUAGUCUGCAACCCGACUACAUGAAGCUGGAAUCGCUAGUAAUCGCGGAUCAGAAUGCCGCGGUGAAUACGUUCCCGGGUCUUGUACACACCGCCCGUCACACCAUGGGAGUCGGAAAUGCCCGAAGUCUGUGACCCAACCUUAGGGAGGGAGCAGCCGAAGGCAGGUCGGAUGACUGGGGUGAAGUCGUAACAAGGUAAC
Molecule: ribosomal RNA, 203 nt
Filed under: uncultured bacterium
Lineage: Bacteria
Description: partial 16S ribosomal RNA
Rfam family: Bacterial small subunit ribosomal RNA
Source: RNAcentral